This 18206-nucleotide long non-coding RNA is filed under the name Sorghum bicolor (sorghum). RNAcentral describes it as "long non-coding RNA (SBIC_LNC006113)". The record is from RNAcentral. Lineage: Eukaryota; Viridiplantae; Streptophyta; Magnoliopsida; Poales; Poaceae.
CAGCCGCGCUCGCCCGCGCUCGCCGCCGUCCGCCACCAGCAUGCCAGAGCAUGCUCCGCCAGACGCUGCGCCACCUCCACCGGCGCCGCCACGGAGCUGCCGCCGCCUUGGGGUCCACCUACCCCCAUAGGCGAGGCGAGCACCCUCCGACUACCGCCUAGUUGCGCUGAAUCGCGCCUAGGCGAGCGCCUAGCGGAACUAUGGUUUCUGAACAUGACUGAUGCUUUAGUUCACUAUGAGCAUGUUUUUAAAGUUGAUUAAAACUUUGUUCUAGGUGUUUGUUUAAGACUGAGGUCCAGAAAUCACAAAUCAUUCUGCAUUUAUUGCACAGUUAAUUGUCAUACAAGUGGAUAAUAUUUUUCUUCUGUCAUUGCGAUGCUAGUUCAGUGGAAGUUUACAGUUUAGUCUGUAACAUUGUGUGCAUUGUUGGUACAAUGCAGUUCUUGAAUUUUGUCAUCUGUGCAGAGUUUAUCUGGUCUUCUAUAUUUACAUUUAGUGUUUGUUCCUACUGUUAAGACUGAAACGUGCUCCGUGUAUAUAUAAUUUAAAUUGUCUGUUUACCCUGAUGUUUCUGUUUUUGUCUGAUGAGCCUUGUUGCUAGUAUUUGAGGCAUUGGUUCUUUAUUCCUUAUGCGGUAAAGAAUGUACUAAUAGCCAUGUAAUGACCUGAAAUAUAUGUGUCAGCUGUGCAUUGCUAACAUGAAUUAAGCUAUACUGCUAUACCUUUAAAUUUUUAAUAAGCCACACAGCAAUGCAAAUUUUAAUUCUGUCGGCGAGGCACAUAGUUUUUCAAUAUGCUCUGUUUUUAGUUUUAUAUAUUCUCUCCAGAGGCACUGAGCCAUGUCUUUGUAUUGUGCAGGUAUGAUCCAUCAACAGGCAUCUAUGGAAUGGACUUCUAUGUCGUGCUCGAGCGUGCUGGCUACCGUGUUGCGCGCCGCAGGAGGUGCAAGGCCCGUGUUGGGAUCCAGCACAGGGUGACCAAGGAGGACUCGAUGAAGUGGUUCCAGGUCAAGUACGAAGGUGUCAUCCUCAACAAGGCUCAGGCCAACACGGUGUAAACUUUAGUUUGUCUAAGCUCCGUGCAGACGCAAGAUCACCUUGCAAGGUUUUUGUUCACAUUGUAUUCUCUGGCCUGAUGUUUUAGUCUACUAUAGCAGAGCUAUAAAACGCCGUAUGAAUUAUUUCAGUGCCCGUAUCAUACUCUGUUCUGUUGCUUGAAAACAUGCUAGUCUGAUCUCCCAGCGCAGCUUGUGAUCUGGCUCUUCUUUGGUUACAUUGCUUUAUUUAUCUGCCACACCUGUGUUUGAGUUUUUGUUGGUGAAUUACUGUCACCCGAUCUGGAAAACUGAAGCGAACUGAGGGGAAGGUUUCUAGGCCUUGUUUAGUUCCGAAAAAUUUUGGGAAAUGGACACUGUAGCAUUUUCGUUUGUAUUUGACAAAUAUUGUCUAAUUAUGGACUAACUGGCUCAAAAGAUUCGUCUCGUCAAUUUCGACCAAACUGUACAAUUAGUUUUUAUUUUCGUCUAUAUUUAAUACUCCAUGCAUGCGUCUAAAAAUUCGAUGUGACGGAGAAUGUGAAAAAUUUUGCAAAAUUUUCUGGGAAGUAAACAAGGCCCUAAUGUUUUUAUUUGGGUAUCAGCGCAGUACGAACAUUUGUGUACUGAUUGUUGUCUCUACAGAAUUUCUUCAAAAGGGUGGUAAAAUUCCAUGGGUGAAUGCAAGUGUCUACUGUCAUCAAGCCAUCAGGGACAGGGAGUACGAAAUAAGGGCUUGUGUUAUCCUAAAAUUUAUACGAUGAUAUAUUCUUUUAACAUAGGGGGUGAGACAUUCCUAAACAGCAGACAGUUCAUCCGUAAUGCGAAUGUAACCCAACUCGUUACCCAUACCCAUAACCUGAUACACCUGUCGCCCUCCACGGGAGCUUCGUCCGCUGCGUCGCGCGCCACUCGCCGGCGACCACCGACCUGUCCCGGCUCGUCCACGCACCGACGGCGGCGUCCUGCCCUUCCCUGCUCAACGCCACCAUCCAGAACCUCCGCUUCGCCUCCCCACGAACUCCGCGGCCGGUGCUGCUCCUGACUCCGGCGAUCGUCGCCGAGGCGAGGGCUUGCGUCGCCUGCUGCCGGUGCCACGGCCUCACGGUCCACGCCUCCAGCGGCGGCCACGACUACGAAGGCCUCUCCUACCGCUCGGUCCUCCGGAGCGCUGGCGCCGCCCGCCCCUUCGCCGUGGUCGACGUCGGCGUGUUGCGCGAUGUCCGCGUCGACGCCGCGCUCCGCGUGGCGACGGUCGGGCCGGGCGCCACACUCAGGGAGCUCUACAACGCCGUGGCGCGUGACAGCGGUGGGUUCGACCCCGGGCUGGGCGCAGACAACGUGGUGGACGCCGAUGGGAGGCUCCUGGACCGCGCGGCCAUGGGCGAGGGCCACUGCUGGGCGAUCCGCGGCGGUGGGGGCGAGAGCUUUGGCGUGGUGGUUGUUAGAAUCGACGUAUGGAAAUAUGAAGUAAACGAAAUCAAUCACAGCGGAGACACACGAUUUACGUGGAAAACCGCUCCAAUGGGAAGGGAAAAAACCACGGGCGCCAGUCUUCUCACUAUUUUCAAGUGUCGGGUUACAAGUUACAACACCAUGCGGUGGCUUACAAGAGAAUGAAAUAUAUUGUCAUUCUGAGCAAAUGACUAUUCAUAGCCUAUGCAUGCCAUCCAACAAUAUUACUCCAUGGCUGUGCGCAAGGAGUGUGACGAAGAUCACACAUCUCUCUUGAAGACCAUGACCUUGCGAAUGUUAUGCAACCACAUUUCUUUUGCCAACCAUAGCCAUACAAUGUGCAUGCAAUUCCUUCACGCACAUAUGCUAUUCAUAGAGAAAGCAUCACGUUGAAUUUGGAACACUUCAACAAACUCCACCUUGAGACAAAUUCAUCUUGUAUCAUAAAUCAACACCUUCAUCUUGAACAUAACAGAGAAAAAUAUUGCUGGCGCCAAAUAGCCUCUUAGGCUAAUCCACUAAACCAACUAAGCUUGAGCACAGCUCAAACUUAGCAACAGGGACAUGUUUAGUCAUCAUAUCAGCAGGAUUAUCAUGAGUACUGAUCUUACAUACCUUCAGCUUACCUUCUUCAAUCACAUCACGCACAAAAUGAUAUUUGAUAUCUAUGUGCUUAGUUCUCUCAUGGAACAUCUUAUCUUUAGUGAGGUAAGUUGCACUUUGACUAUCACAAUGCAAACUUAUGCAAGAUUCAACUCCACACAGCUCAGCGUACAAACCUUUUAGCCAAAUUAAUUCUUUGCACGCUUCACAAAUAGCCAUAUAUUCUGCUUCAGUAGUAGACAAAGCAACAACAGACUGUAAAGUAGCCCUCCAACUCACAGCACAACUGCCAACAGUAAACACAUAACCUGUAAGUGAUCUUCGCCUGUCCAGAUCAGCAGCAUAAUCUGAAUCCACAUAACCAAUGAGACCCUUAUCAGUUCUUCCAAACUUCAAACUGGAAUAUGCUGUGCCUCGGAGGUACCUGAAAAUCCACUGAACUGCCCUCCAAUGUUCUUUACCGGGAUUAGACAUAUAUCUGCUAACAAGACUCAUAGCAUAUGAUAAAUCUGGACGAGAGCAGACCAUGGCAUACAUCAAAGACCCAACAGCACUAGAAUAAGGAACCCUUGACAUGUAAUUAGUCUCUGCAUCUGUACUAGGACACUGAGCAGCUGACAACUUAAAGUAAGGUGCAAUAGGGGUACUAACAGCCUUAGCAUUCUGCAUGUUGAAACGCUGAAGAACUUUCUUGAUAUAAUUUUGUUGACUUAGAAAUAGCAAACCAGAUUUUCUUUCUCUACUAAUUUCCAUACCAAGAAUUUUCUUAGCACUACCAAGAUCUUUCAUAUCAAACUCACUACUCAAUAACUUCUUUAACUUAGUGAUUUCAAUCUUACUCUUGGCAGCAAUCAACAUAUCAUCAACAUAUAACAACAAAUAUAUAGGUGAUCCAUUAACAUGCUUGAUGUAUACACAGCUAUCAUAUUUAGAUCUUUUAAAACUGUGUGACAACAUAAAUGAAUCAAACCUCUUGUUCCACUGACGAGGGGACUGUUUCAAACCAUACAAGGAUCGCUUCAACUUGCACACAUAUUUCUCCUUGCCAGGCACUAUGAACCCUUCCGGUUGGUCCAUGUAUAUGUCAUCCUCAAGCUCUCCAUGCAAAAACGCAGUCUUCACAUCUAACUGCUCAAGCUCAAGAUCAUGUGAAGCAACAAUACUUAGGAAAGUAUGAAUUGAACUCAUACCACUGGAGAGAAUACAUCAUUAUAGUCAACACCCGAAAUUUGAAUAUAUCCUUUGGCUACUAACCUUGCCUUGUACUUUGGAGGCUCACUUGGAGAUAAACCCUCCUUUCUCUUGAAGAUCCAUUUGCAGUUGAUGGUCUUCUUUUUCUUAGGCAAAGGUACAACCUCCCAUGUACUGUUCUUCUCAAGAGACUGCAUCUCCUCAUGCAUAGUAGAAAUCCAAUUCUCACUAUCACCACAACGAACAACCUCUUUGUAGGUUGCUGGCUCAUGAACAUUCUCCACCUGUUCAGCACAACUCAAAGCAUAGUAAGACAAAUUACAUUCUUCAAUGAGACGUUUGGGAGGUACAACUGUCCUUUUUGACUUGCGUUGAGCAAUAGGUAAAUCCUCCUCUUGCUGCAAAAUAGGAGGAGUUUGCUGAACAUCAUCAUGAGCAUCAUCAUCAGCAACAUCAUUAGCAUGGUCAUCAUGCUCAUCAAUAGGCUCCACCUGCACACCUGUAUCAUCAUCAACAUGCCCCACCUGCAUGUGUAUAUCAUCAUCAACAUGCUCCACCUGCAUGCGCAUACACUGCAGCUCUGUUUCUGGAACAUGAUCUGAGGGCAAACUGUCAGUAAACAUCAUAGAUUCGUUGAAAACAACACUUCUGCUCAUAAAAGUCUUUCCUGUAUCGGGAUUCCACAGUUUAUAACCCUUGACUCCCGAGCUAUAACCAAGAAAAAGACACUUAAUAGCUCUAGGCUCUAAUUUUCCAUUAUCAACAUGAGCAUAAGCAGUGCAUCCAAAAACUUUCAACUGUGAAUAAUCUACAGGUGUACCAGACCAUACCUCAAUAGGAGUUUUCUUAUUAAGUGGAAUAGAAGGCGACCUGUUUAUCAAGUAACAGGCAGUAUUUGCAGCUUCAGCCCAAAACUGCUUGCUCAUCCUGGCAUUAGACAGCAUGCAACGGGCCUUGGAUAUGAUGGUUCUGUUCAUACGUUCAGCCACACCAUUCUGUUGUGGAGUAUGGGGUAUGGUGUGAUGCCGAACAAUACCUUCCUGUCUGCAAUAAUCAUUAAAGGCAUGCGAACAAAAUUCUCCACCAUUAUCAGUACAAAGUAAUUUUACCUUUCUUUCAGUUUGCCUUUCUAUCAAUACUUUCCAGUUCUUAAAAGCAUCAAAAGUAUCAUCUUUAUGUUUCAGAAAAUAAGGCCAAACCCUUUUAGAGUAAUCAUCAAUAAUUGUAAGCAUGUAACGAGCACCACCAAGUGAGGGCUUCUUAGAAGGACCCCACAAAUCAGUAUGAACAUAAUCAAGAGUACCUUUGUGCUGUGAACCGAAGUGUUAAAGUGUACCCUUAUAUGCUUCCCGAAAAUACAAUGCUCACAAAACUUCAUGUUACUCGGAGUGCAGCCCUUCAACAAGUUUCUCUUCACCAAUUCUGUGAUACCAAGUUUACUCAUAUGUCCCAAACACAUAUGCCAAAGGUUAGUCUUACUAGGUUCAUCAUUAGUAACAGCGGAAGCAAUAGAAUCAGAACCAGGUAAAGUACACCCUCUAAGGACAUAUAAAUGUGCAGAACUCAGAUCACCUUUUAGGCAAACAAGAGAACCUUUAGACACCUUUAGAACGCCAUUUGAACCGGAAUAUUUGUAACCUUCUGCAUCUAGCGUGCUCAAUGAGAUAAAAUUUCUAGACAUCCCUGGAAUAUACCUGACAUUCUUCAGUGUGUGUGUCAUGCCAUCAUCAGUCUUGAUCUGAACUGAUCCUAUUCCCACGAUCUCACAUGGGUUAUCAUCUCCCAUCCGCACAACAUUCCCUUUCUGCACAGGCUCAUAUGAACUAAACCAAUUUCUGUUAGUGCAAAUAUGAAAUGAACAUGCAGAAUCAAGAAUCCAUUCAUCAUGACUUGCAACACAACCAGCAAAUACUACCAGACAAUCUCCAGAAUCAUCAUCAGAAGCAGCAGCAGCAGCAACAACAGAGACCUUACCAGCCGACUUGUUGUUUUUCUUCUCCUUAUUCUUUAGUUUUCUGCAGUCCUCAACAUUAUGAUUUUUCAACUUGCAGAAAACACAGAAUUUUUUAUUACCAGGCGGCUUGGACUUUGAACGGCCUCUUCCAUCGUAGCUCUUGUCACGACUGUCAUUGGAGUAUCUAUGCUCAGAUCUGCCUCUCACAUGCAAAGCUUCGCCCUUGGAGGACGACGACCCGUCAUACUGCACCAUGCCUUUCAUCUUCUCCCUAGACUGGAGAGCCUCAUAAACUUCCUUUAGGGUUAGUUCAUCACGGCUUAAAAGUAUGGUGUCACGGAAAUUUGCAUACGAAUUUGGCAAUGAACAUAGAAGUAAAAGACCUAAGUCCUCAUCAUCAUACUUCACCUCCAUCGGCACUAGAUCAGCCAUGAUCUUCUUAAAUUCAGCGAUGUGGGUCAUCACCGAAUCCUCCUUCAUCUUUAGAGUGAACAGCUUCAUCUUCAUCUGCAUCUUACUGGUUAGAUCCUUGGACAUACAGAUCGAUUCCAGUUUCAGCCAUAGUUCUGCAGAAGUUUUCUCCUUCAAACACUCCUGCAAAAUAUCAUUAUGAAGAUAUAGCUGGAUUAGUGCGAGCGCCUUCUGAUCCUUGCGGGUCUCCUUAGGAGUCCACUCGGCCUUCCUCUUGCCGAAAUUAUCCAGCGCCUCAUCAUAGUCAUGAGUCUGCGCCAGAAUCCCCCGCAUCUUGACUUGCCAUAGCGAGAACCGCGUGUCGUAGUUCAAUAGCGGAAGAUCGAACUUCAUCGACGUCGACAUGAACCGAUUUACGUGGAAAACCCCUCCAAUGCGAAAGGGAAAAACCACGGGCGCCAGCCAGCAACUCUUCUCACUAUUUUCAAGUGUCGGGUUACAAGUUACAACACCAUGCGGUGGCUUACAAGAGAAUGAAAUAUAUUGUCAUCUUAGUGGAACUCUAUUCUGAGCAAAUGACUAUUCAUAGCCUAUGCAUGCCAUCCAACAAUAUUACUUCAUGGCUGUGCGCAAGGAGUGUGACGAAGAUCACGCAUCUCUCUUGAAGACCAUGACCUUGCGAAUGUCAUGCAACCACAUUUCUUUUGCCAACCAUAGCCAUACAAUGUGCAUGCAAUUCCUUCACGCACAUAUGCUAUUCAUAGAGAAAGCAUCACGUUGAAUUUGGAACACUUCAACAGUGGUUUCCUGGACAGUGCGGCGGUCCCCGUGCCGCGCAUCGUCUUCGCCUUCACCGUGCGACGCCUAGUCCGCCACGGGGACCGACGGCAGCCCCAGGCAACGGUCCGACUGCUGGCCAAGUGGCUGCGCGUGGCGCACACGCUCCCCGACGACCUGUUCGUGAAGGCGGCCAUGGAGCCGGAGCUCGAUGACGCCAGCGUGAGGCACCUGCUGGUGACCUUCAAGUCACUGUUCCUCGGCAGCAACUGCAACGGGACGGUGGCAGAGAUGAGCACCCACCUACCGGAGCUUGGCGUCACGGCGAAAGACUGCAGAGACAUGAGCUGGAUCCAGUCGAUGCUCUACUUCUAUGGGUGCACGAGCGGGCAGGCCACCGCGGAGGGGCUCCUUGACCGGAGCCUGCAGCCCAAGGACUACUACAAGUUCAAGCUGGACUACGUGACGACCCCGAUCUUGGUGUCCGUGCAGGCGGGGCUCCUCGCCAGGGUGGUGGAGGACAGGGGCGGGUCCAUCGACGUGGACCCACAGGGCAGCGCCAUGAGCGCGAUGCUAGACUCGGACACGCCGUAGGCGCACCGGCGAGGGUACCUGUACAACGUGCAGUACUUUGUCAAGUGGGGCGGCGACGCCAAUGUGUCGUACGAGGACGCGCACCUCGGGUGGGUGUAGGGCGUGCACCGGUGGAUGACGCCGUAUGCGACCGUGAGUCCCCGGGCGGCGUACGUCAACUUCAGGGACCUGGACCUGGGGCAGAACGUGGACGGGGAGACGACCUACGAGGCGGCCAGGGCAUGGGGGGAGAUGUACUUCAGGGGUAACUUCAGGAGGCUGGCCAUGGUGAAGGCCGAGGUGGAUCCUGACCAGGUGUUCUGGAGCGAGCAGAGCAUCCCUCCCCUGUUUGAGGUUGGGGAGGAGACAGGGGAAUGACACAGUCAGAGUGGGUUGUUUUUAGACAAUUGAUGAGUGAUCUUCUCCUUCUCUUGCCCGAAAAGCCAUGAAAUAUUGUUUGUUGAUUUGUUGUGAGAAAAACACUAUUGAAUAGUUAACAGUCGGCAGUUAAGCUAAAGCAAACAUGCUCAUCUAUUCUGCAAUAGAAUGUGAUGUGCUUUCCCCAAGUGUCAAUAGCCAAUGAUGCAAUAGAACAGCACAGUGAUGUAUCAAUCAUAUAUUCAUGAAUUACCAAAGGCGACACUGUGAUUUCUAAAUUCUGCGCGACAUCUUGUUGCUAGUUUCAGCAUUUUCAGUGUGGCACUGCUGAUAUUGCGAGGCAAGGAGUAUUGGCGCCCAUGCUAUGUACAAAACCAGCACCGAAACUGCAGGGCCUCAACUGAAGUUGCAGUGGAGGUUGACAUGGAAUGAACUAGAAAACCAGCUCGGCUUUGUCGUGCCCUCCGUGGAGUGGGUCAGCCUGUUUUUACAGGUUUUGUUACUCCUCUUUUCUCUAUAUCUUCUCUACUUUUCACAGUAUCUUCUUUGGAAGACGUAUUAAUACUGAUAAAUAGAGGGGAUAAUUGUGCCUAUAAAACAGUGGUAAUAUUGAGAUAUGGUAAAACUUUUCUAUGCUAACAUCUUUAGAACAAAUGUGUAUUUCCAUUUUCUGCCUAAUCAAAUGUUGUUCGUUUAGGAGGCCUAGAACCUAUCAUAGAUCUCACUUAAUUUGUGGACAGGUUUUUCAAUAGCUUGGAGGUAUAGCUUGUAUCUAUAUGUUAUGAAUAAUAAACAGAUAUUAAAUUGCUUUUGUCUCCAAUUUAGUUCUGUUUUUUUGGGUUAGGUCCCUGGAAUCAUCAGAGAGGUCUCAAGCUAACAUAAACAUGGACCACUUUAGCACGAGUGCUAGAACUUUAUUGUGAUCAUACCAUUACCAUCCAGAGUGCAGCAUCAUUUCUUCUUGGAAGUCUAUUACUACAACGUGGGAGAUAUGGAGACAAAGAAACCCUCAAAUCUUGAGGGGAACUCUAAUACACAGGAGAUAUGUGUAUCAAGAAGAAAAGGGGAUAGAAACCAACAACAUCACACAACCCCACGACACAGACAGAUCACACACAAAAACAAAACGAAAAUGAACUCGCCAAUGACUGCAAGCACCAAACAACCUCAGCCAACAAAGUAACUAACGGUAGACCUAAAGGCGAGGAAAUGUGAAACAUCUCGAGCCAUAGCUAAACACUAUAAAUGUAGUUCCUUCCUGAUGAACUCUAAAACUCCAUUCAAACUAGGCCAGAUCCCAUCAAACACGUAUGGAUUGUGGAGAUUCCAGAUUGCCCAUGUUCGAAGGAUAAUAAUGGAGUUGAGACCUCCAACUUUUGUUUGAAACAUUCCAAAGUGAUAAAAAGGUUCAACCUAGGUGUCAACACUAAGUGAUCCUACCUGUCUUUAAUUAGGUUACCCAUACAAGAGAGAUCAACAAACUAAUGUGCCUCCCAUUUUCUAAGUAAGUCAUCAUAGAUGUCUCGUUUCUUAAUCUUUUGCAUGCACAACUUCAGCUUGGACAGUGUCGAUGAACUCAACUUGUCAUCCUUCAGCUUUGAAACAAGCAUGUUCCCACACUCCUCUAAAGGUGGCAAGCCAUUCUCCACCACGCAGCUCCAAAUUCUGAUCCCAGUCUCCCAAUAGCGUGCAUCCAAAAACAAGCGAAGUGCAAGCGAACAAUUUCCCUCGUUUGGCCAACAUUCGUUCUUAACCAUCUCGCUAAAUAUUGUUGCUGCCUUAUGGAGCUCCCUUCUCUCUAGCAAAAUCAGGAGGAACACAUUGUAUGUGUUGGUAUCAGGGACCAAUCCAUUGAAGAUCAUGUCAUCGAGAUAAUCCACUAUCACCUCAACAUGCCCAAGACUGCCCUGUAGCAUGAUCAUUGUGUUGUACAUUUCCAUGUCUGGGACAAGCCCUCGACGCCCAACAAACUUGUCCCAUAGAUAAGUGGCGCCGCGCAAUUCUCCUGCCUCAAGGUGCACGGCGACAACAGCACAGAAGAACCUCUCUCCUGCUCCCGGCGAACAGCUGCGCUUGUUUAAGAAGUCUAGAUAGUACAUUGCUUCUAGUAGCGCCAUGGAGGAGUUGCUUGACACAAGCAUAGCGAGGAAGGCCUCAUAGGCAGGCAUGUUGUCAGGACCAACACCGAUAUCAUGCACCAUUUCAUCGCACACGUCACGCGCACCCCGCGUGUCGGCAGCAGCCUCGCAGCACUCGAGGAGGAUGGCAUAGGAGUCGGCAUCCAGAAGCGUGCCAGCCUCGGCGUGGGCUACAGGGAUCGCCGCACGAGCGUCGUCGAGGCGGUCGGCACGACAGAGCGCGGAGAGGAACGAGUUGAGCGCCGACAUGUCGCGGGCCAUGCCAUAGCGCGGCAUGUCGUCCAUGAACGCCUUGAGCGGGGAACAGCCGGGGCUUGCCGCCAGGGAGGAGAAUACGGAGGCGAAAGUGUCGAGCGAGAGGAGCCGCCGCGAGUGCAUGGAGUCGAGGUUUCCCACAUGCGCGUGAAGAGGCGGUUUGCACCGAGGAUGUCGACGACGAGGUUCCAUGAGUAGGGGGAGUGGUUGUCGUGGCCGAGGUGCCAGUGCCCCGCCCAGUGGAAGAAGGCGGCGGCAGCGUGCGGGUGCGCGUAGGAUAAGUGAAGCACCUGUUCGACGUCAGCGGUGGUUACACCGCGGAUGUCGGCCUCAUCGAGCGCGGCGUCCAUGUCGUCGUCGGCGCGGGAGGCUAGGAUAUCGUAGAAGAUGCGGGUCUUGUGCGGCAGCUCGGAGGCUUCCUUGUUUGUGGGGAACGCCGGCGAGGACGGGUCGCGGGCGCGCUUCGCCGCCGACGAUGCCAUCGUGGUUGCGUUGUCGGACGGCCGCUUCGCUAGGUGAUGGGACAUCACGGCAGGGGAACUCGAGCGGUCGCCUGGACAGUGGACCGGACCCCGGGAGGCUGCACUGCUGCAGGGGUCAAGUUGGGCCGACGGGAUUACGCCAUGUUCCGUUAAACUGUACGAAGUAUCACAUAGGCCUUGUUUUUCUCCAUAAAAAUUUCAAGAUUCUUUGUCACAUCAAAUCUUGCGGCACAUACAUAAAGGACUAAGGCUUUGUUUAGAUCAAAAAGUUUUUAGAUUUUGACACUAUAGCACUUUUAUUUUUAUUUUAACUAGAUUUAAAAGAUUCUUCUCGCGAUUUAUGCAAUUAGUUUUUGUUUUUAUCUAUAUUUAAUGCUCUAUGCAUGUGUUGCAAGAUUCGAUGUGAUUGGAAAUUUAGAAAAGUUUUUGGUUUUGGGAACUAAACAAGGCCUCAAAAACUAAAAAGUUUUCAAGAUUUCCCGUCACAUCAAAUCUUGCGGUAUAUAUAUGGAGCAUUAAAUAUAAAAAAAAUAAAAACUAAUUACACAGUUAUCUGUAAAUCGUGAGAUAAAUCUUCUGAACCUAGUUAAUCCGUGAUUGAACAAUAAUUAUUAAAUAAAAACAAAAAUACUACAAUAUCCCAAAUAAAAAAUUUUUGGGAACGGCCUAAAUAUAAAAAAAAUAGAAACUAAUUACACAAUUUACCUAUGAUUUGCGAGAUGAAUCUUUUGAGCCUAGUUAGGCCAUGACUGGACAAUAAUACCAAAUAUACAAACAAAAGUGCUACAGUACCCAAAAUCCAAAACUUUUGCCAACUAAAUAAGGCUUUAGUUCACCCAAAAACUAAAAGCUUUUCAAGAUUUUCCGUCAUAUAGAAUCUUGCGGCACAUGAAGCAUUAAAUAUAGUUGAAAACAAAAACUAAUUUUAUAGUUUCCGCUGAAUGCUUUGCCACCGAUGUCAAUGGUUCUGGCUGGGCUGAUACUUUGCGGUUGCAGCUCUUGGUGAUUUCUUCGCUGUUGUUCGCUGUUGUUUCGGCUUUCCUAGCGAAGGGGAGGAGAAUGAGCUCGUAGCUCGAAGGGCCUUGCAAACAUCUACGAGUGUUUGGUUUUUCAGUUUAAUGGGUGGCAAACCCGCUAGCAUUUGUUUCAAUUGGUUCAUGUGACGAGCUGACUCGAUUCUUAUGGUUAGCAGGUUAUUGGAUGAUGCGGCCCUAUCCAUGGAUAUAUUUUUGGAUGCAUAAUUUCUCGAGCGCCUGGUUUUAGUUUAAUGGGUGAGACACCCGCUAACAUUUGUAUCGAAUGUUCACGUGAUGAGCUGGCUCGAUCCUACACCUUUUGGGUUAUUAGGUGAGUCUUAGAGAGUUUUCAAAACUGUCAUGUCAUGUGAAAUAAAAUAAAAUUAGGAUAAAACACACACUCUCAAUGGAGAGUUUUAUUUUAUAGUUUCAUAGGCAUUUAAUUCCAAAACUUAUAGAGAGUUGGUAAUUGUGCCAAGAGAGUUUCAUCUAGAUGAAACUCAUUUCUUCUCUCUCUUCUUAAAUACACUGUCAUAUCAUAAAAACCCCUAUGUCGCAACCUAUUUAAUGCAAAUAAAACUCAAAUAAAUCUCCCAUUGAAACUGCUUAGAUGACGUGGCCUUCAUCCAUGGGCUCACUUUUUGAUAUAGAUUCCUAUAUUAUUUUAUUAUAAAGAAGAUUCAUAGUUUCUCCGUCCUAAAAUAAUUGUUGUUUGUAUUUCUCAAUAAAUUAAUUUGACUAAAUAUAUAUUAAAAAAUAUUAAUGUUUAUGGUACAUAAUAAGUAUCAUUAGAAGGAUCUUUAAGUCUAGUUUUGAACAAAUUUAUUUGAUGAUACAAAUAUUGCAUGUGUUUUCUACAAAUCAAAACAAACUUAUGAUAUGAAAAUUAAAAGCUACAAUUAAUUUAGGAUGGAUAGACUGGCCUUGUUUAGUUCCGAAAAUUUUUUAGAUUUCGAUAGUGUAGUAUUUUCGUUUUUAUUUGACAAAUAUUAUCUAAUUACAGACUGUUUCUGUUUGCUUCUCUUCUCACUCCUCGUCUAGCUAUCCAUCCAUGGCGCCCUUGGCCUUAACUCUGGUGCCCGCCAGCUACCUAUAUAUAUAUACUCUGCAAACAGCUAGGGGUGUUUGAUUGGUGAUUAGAUACUGUAACAUUUUCGUUUUAUUCGACAAUUAUUAUCCAAUCAUAAACUAAUUAGGUCUAAAAGAUUCGUCUCGUAAAUUACUUUCUAGCUAUAUUUUUAGUUUUUAUAAAUAAUCUACAUUUAGUAUUUUAUGCAUGUAUCUAAAUAUUUGAUGUGACGAACAAUAUAAUUUAUUCGCCCGUAACGUGAAGACGAAAUCUAGAUAUGCUCGGCGUGUGCUACUACACAAUUGAGACUUCAGGGAAGCUUCUCUCUUCUCUUUUCAGCUGUCUGGGCCUGGGCUGUGUUGCAUGCAGAAUUCUGCAUGCAUAGCAUAGGUGCCGCUCUCGCUGCCAUGCCCAGCAUAGGUGCCUCCCAUCGGUUAGAGCCUGGGACAAAGCCUAUUGACUUGAGCUUAUCUAUUAAAUUUGACAGUUGAUGUUUAAGAACUAAUAAUAUAAUGACAAAAUAUAAUUUCUAGUAUGAUGUAACUUAACACUUACUGUGUAACAAAAAAAAGCAGGACACGCAUAUCGGCAUAUGGUUCUCCUCAUCCAUCCGAUCCAUCCUUCAAAUAAUUCUCCGCUAUGUUUGCUCAUGGCUUCAUUAUACGACAUGGUGUCAUCAUCCAGAAUAUAUAAUCCAUGGGACGGACUUUUCCCUAGCCCUCCUAGCUUAGCUUAGCCUUCUUGCUCGUUAGUUAUAUACUCCCUUCAUCUUAAAUUGUAAGUCAUUCCAAGAAUCUUGAAAAGUCAAAGCAUUUUCACGUUUGACCAAAAUUAUAAAGAAAAAUACUAAGAUUUGUAACGUAAAGUGAGUAUAUUAUGAAAAUAUAAUUAAGAAAAAAAUCUAAUGAUACUUAGUUAGUAUCAUAAUAAUUAUUAUUUUAUAAUAUAAAUUUGGUUAAACUUAAAAAAUUUGACUCUUCAAGAUUCUUGAAAUGACUUACAAUUUAGAAUGGAGGGAGUAUUAGAUUAGAUCUUUGUCAAACGGCCGUCGCUGCUCAAAUUAAAAGAUAUAAGAGCAAGGUCAAUAAUAGAGCCAAGUACUUGGUUAUAUAAGCUAAGUAAUUAGAGCCAAGUUAUACAAUAAGUUGUCUUAUACUUGUUCUAAACAUUUUCUCUUUCCUAUUCCUUCUCACAACACUUGCUAUUUGGACCCACUACUACCUAGGUCUUGUUUACUUCCCCAAAUAUUUUGCCAAAUGUUUCAUAUUCUCCGUCACAUCAAAUCUUACGACACAUGCAUGAAACAUUAAAUAUAGUUAAAAAAGAUAACUAAUUACACAGUUUGCAUAUAAUUUGCGAGACGAAUUUUUUGAGCCUAGUUAGCCUAUGAUUGGACAAUAUUUGUCAAAUACAAACGAAAGUGGUACUAUUCAUAUUUUGCAAAAAUUUUUGCAAGUAAACAAUCCGUGCCCAGCUUGGUGUUUAUAUGAGCGCUAAGCUAUCAUCUUUCUUCUCUCUUCUCUCCUCCACAUCAGUAUUAGCUUGGCUAUAAACCCAUUAUUAUACCUCCUCUAAUAGCUGUUGCAAUUGCAGCCCAACAAAGUGAAGUACAAUGGUGCUGUGGUGGUUUGAUCGCCCAGCUACGAUAUCAUUUGACAUGGAGCAGAGCUAGUAGCAGUACAAGUUGUACUUGCAGGGACGAUAGAGGCCAUGCACGCACAUGGAUCAUGGAAUUAAUCCUAUCACGUGGACCAUGGUUGAAUAUAUAAUCGCAUCUCGUCAAAGGAAAUGAUUGAGCUGUGCGCCUUUUUCAUGUGUGACAGUAGUGUGCGUUGCCGCUGGACAUUCGCAUGGGCUUCUCCACUCUGUCGCCAUGAAAUCUCUCUCUAUUUCUGAGAUUGUGCAAUGCCGAAGGAUGCUACCUGUUGGGGCUUCCAAGCGUCGCCUUCCCAUCAGUUUAGUCUCCUCCACUAGAUAUCAUACAACCACAGUUCAAGCUGCAGAGCGUCUACCGUCUUCCAAAAAUUUUCAGAUUCCGUCACAUCGAAUCUUUAGACGCACGUAUGGAGUCUUAAAUAUUCAUCAUAAAAAUAAAAACUAAUUGCACAAUUUACCUAUAAUUUGCGAGACGAAUCUUUUAAGCCUAGUUGAUCGAUAAUUGGACAAUAAUUAUCAAAUACAAACGAAAGUACUAUAUUAGCCAAAACCAAAAAAAAUCGCAAACUAAACUAGACCUAAGCAACAGCCAAAGCCACACAUUCCUCUACGAUCUUUUUCUUCUUCUGGAGCGAGUCGAGGCUACUCGUCCUCGAUAAGAAAAGCCAGCGGCCUUUCGUCGCGUAACAGGCAUAUGCAUGGUCUAUCUCCAUUGGAAUAAAGCAAUGGAUUCUGGCUUGCUUCUGUUGGCACGUAGGAGCAUAUAUCUUUUUUUAGAUUUCUCUAGCUGACCGGACUUUCUUUACCGGCGCGGCGAAAGGAGGACGACGCAUGUCCUACCGGAUAUGCUCUUUUCUGUCAUGGUAUAAGUAGGCGACCCUGUCGUUCCUCUCCUCACCAACAAACCCAAAAACGACAUGGUAUGCAUGCCUACCUUCGGUAUCGAUCUUACCUACUAUCCUUGAAGCAAUGAAGCAUGUGUUUAUGGAAAUGUGGAGGUCCAUUGCAGGGCAACCCUCCGUUGGCAGGUGCGACCUACACCCUACCCUGCCAAAGGGGAUUUGCCCAGCGAUGCGCCUGCACACACACACUUUCGCCACCUGCAGGCUGCAACAACUCAAGGUAGAAGAAGGGGCAGAUUUUUAUAUUUUAAUAAUAAUCCUUCCAAAAAAUAUUUUGCAUCAGAUAGCUCCACUGGCGUGACCAAACAACAUAGUCACGUCACAUGCAUUGACCCGACAAGAAACGACACAUUCGACAGCGUUUUUGACGUGGAAAAGCUUAUCACGCCACUCUCAAACUUUUAAAAAUCAUAACUCUUCGAUACAACGUCGGAUGAAAAAAAAAUUAUAUGAAACUUGUAGGAACCUAAUAUUUUCUGGGACAUGUGAUGCAAAAAUAUUUUUCUAGGAUGAUUAAUAUUAAAAUAUUUAUUAAAAAAGAUUAAAGUAUAAAAAAAAUCUAAGAAGACGACGGUGCUCCACCCGGCCUGCUACAUUCGGCCUUUCUUCGGCCCAUCAGACAGGAGCCCAAUAUUCGGCCUGGGUUGAACAAAGCCCAAAACCUAUCACAUGGUCACCAAAAGCCCAAAAAGGCCCAUGAAAAGCCUAUCCCAGCUCCCACCACCAGUGCACCACCCCAACUAGGGUUGCUCCCUUUCAACCUCGCGCCGCCACCCCCCUUCAUCUCUCGACGCCCAUCUCCUCCACCAUCCGCCGCCGCCGCCGAGAACGAGGAGAAGAGGAUCCGGCCGUUUCCUCGCCCCCAUGGUACCGCCUCCAUUCCAUCCUCGUGCUCCCAUUCCCAUCUUCUCGCCUUCCUCUUCCUCGUCCUGCCUGUGACAUGUGACGCUAACUCGCGUGGCGUUCCGCAGGCGUCCGAGAAGAAGCAGUCGAACCCGAUGCGGGAGAUCAAGGUGCAGAAGCUCGUCCUCAACAUCUCCGUCGGGGAGAGCGGUGACCGCCUCACCCGCGCCGCCAAGGUGCUCGAGCAGCUCAGCGGCCAGACCCCUGUCUUCUCCAAGGGUGAGUGUGCUGAGUUCUUCCGGCUCCGUUUCUUUCCCUUUCGCUGACGGGGUGCGUCCUUUUUGCCUGAUUUGCUGGUCGGUCUUGCAGCGAGGUACACGGUGCGGUCGUUCGGCAUCCGGCGCAACGAGAAGAUCGCCUGCUACGUCACUGUCAGGGGCGAGAAGGCCAUGCAGCUGCUUGAGAGCGGCCUCAAGGUCAAGGAGUACGAGCUGCUCAGGAGGAACUUCAGCGACACCGGGUGCUUCGGAUUCGGCAUCCAGGAGCACAUCGACCUUGGUAUCAAGUAUGGCUCCGUCGUACUUUUUCGAGAAUCUUUGCUAUGAUUCAGGCCAUAUGUUGUGUCAGUACAUAGGUUCUUGUUUUUGCACAUCAACUGUUUUUGCUACAUCGGUUGCUGUUGUUGUUAGAAGCUUCAAAAUUUCGGUCCUCUAUUUCCAUGUGGUGAGGCUACCAGUGAUAAAUCCGAUGCUAGUAAAUCCUUGGCUUGUUUUCUAGUACUAUCUUUGUCCAUUAGCUCCAAGCCCAGUAAUUGUUUCUGAACAUGACUGAUGCUUUAGUUCACUAUGAGCAUGUUUUUAGAAUUGAUUAAAACAUUGUUCUAGGUGUUUGUUGUUUAAGACUGAGGUCCAGAAAUCACAAAUCAUUCUGCAGUUAUUGCACAGUUAGUUGUCAUACAAGUGGAUAAUAUUUUUCUUCUGUCAUUGCGAUGCUAGUUCAGUGGAAGUUUACAGUUUAGUCUGUGACAUUGUGUGCAUUGUUGGUACAAUGCAGUUCUUGAAUUUUGUCAUCUGUGCAGAGUUUAUCUGGUUUUGCAUAUUUACAUUUAGUGUUUGUUCCUACUGUUAAGACUGAAACGUGCUCCGUGUAUAUAUAAUUUAAAUUGUCUGUUUAUCCUGAUGUUUCCGUUUUUGUCUGAUGAGCCUUGUUGUUAGUAUUUGAGGCAUUGGUUCCUUACUCCUUAUGCGGUAAAGAAUGUACUAAUAGCCAUUUAAUGACCUGAAAUAUUUGUGUCAGCUGAGGAUUGCUAACAUGAAUUAAGCUAUACUGCUAUACCUUUAAAUUUUUAAUAAGCCACACACCAAUGCAAAUUUUAAUUCUGUCGGCAGAGGCACAUAGUUUUUCAAUAUGCUCUGUUUUUAGUUUUAUAUAUUCUCUCCAGAGGCACUGAGCCAUGUCUUUGUAUUGUGC